AACCCGCCCACAUGAAGCGGAGUUGCUAGUAAUCGCGGAUCAGCAUGCCGCGGUGAAUACGUUCCCGGGCCUUGUACACACCGCCCGUCACACCAUGGGAGGUUGGGAGUGCCCAAAGCCGGUGAGGCAACCGAAAGGAGCCAGCCGUCUAAGGCAAGACCAAUGACUGGGGUGAAGUCGUAACAAGGUAUC
RNAcentral lists this ribosomal RNA (192 nucleotides) under uncultured bacterium. RNAcentral's name for it is "partial 16S ribosomal RNA". It matches the Rfam family "Bacterial small subunit ribosomal RNA", at positions 1309 to 1500 of the family's 1533-position model. The record is from RNAcentral.